Molecule: small RNA, 81 nt
Filed under: Flavobacterium terrigena
Lineage: Bacteria; Pseudomonadati; Bacteroidota; Flavobacteriia; Flavobacteriales; Flavobacteriaceae
Description: Flavo-1 RNA
Rfam family: Flavo-1 RNA
Source: RNAcentral
UUCUAGCCCUGAUAGGAGCGGCAUCCUUUUAUUUAAUUCUUCAAAAUUAAAUAAAAGAUAUAGCAGAUAGCAGGAAAUAGC